GACGAACGCUGGCGGCGUGCUUAACACAUGCAAGUCGAACGGAAAGGCCCUGCUUUUGUGGGGUGCUCGAGUGGCGAACGGGCGAGUAACACGUGAGUAACCUGCCCUUGACUUUGGGAUAACUUCAGGAAACUGGGGCUAAUACCGGAUAGGAGCUCCUGCUGCAUGGUGGGGGUUGGAAAGUUUCGGCGGUUGGGGAUGGACUCGCGGCUUAUCAGCUUGUUGGUGGGGUAGUGGCUUACCAAGGCUUUGACGGGUAGCCGGCCUGAGAGGGUGACCGGCCACAUUGGGACUGAGAUACGGCCCAGACUCCUACGGGAGGCAGCAGUGGGGAAUAUUGCACAAUGGGCGGAAGCCUGAUGCAGCAACGCCGCGUGCGGGAUGACGGCCUUCGGGUUGUAAACCGCUUUCGCCUGUGACGAGGCGUGAGUGACGGUAAUGGGUAAAGAAGCACCGGCUAACUACGUG
RNAcentral lists this ribosomal RNA (468 nucleotides) under uncultured bacterium. Its description in RNAcentral is "partial 16S ribosomal RNA". It matches the Rfam family "Bacterial small subunit ribosomal RNA", at positions 28 to 507 of the family's 1533-position model. The record is from RNAcentral.